RNAcentral lists this long non-coding RNA (1190 nucleotides) under Homo sapiens (human). Its description in RNAcentral is "HSALNT0011541". Lineage: Eukaryota; Metazoa; Chordata; Mammalia; Primates; Hominidae. The record is from RNAcentral.
CGGGCUAGCGGGCUACUGGGCUGCGGAGACCAGAGCCCGGCUCCACUGAAGAAACCCGCCGGCUGCUGGGGCAGGGCGGCGAAAGGUCAGUCGGCCGAGAGGAGUCCGUGGAGCCACCGUUUCAUAGCCUCAGGGAAAGGAUCGGGCGUGCUCACGAGCCCUCUAACCCAUGGCUUAAACACCCGCUUCCUAAGCCUGGUUCCUGAAUAUAUCACAUGUGGUGAUAAACAUGAAGAUGUAUGAAAAAUUGUGUUCGUUGAGAGAAAAUGGAAGGCUUUUCAUUCUACUUCCACAUUUUCAUUCCAGCAGCUUUUCUGUUUUGGAAGAUGAGUACUGAAUCUUGCAAUGAAAUUUUUUUAACUUAAACAAGACAAGGAAAAUGAAGCGCAGAGACGUUAAAUAACUCUCUCAAGGUCAUGCAGCUGAGAAGAGAUGAGACUUGAACUCCAGUGCCAGCCCUGUUAAUCACUAUUCUGUACUGUCUUUCAGAUGGAAUGAUAGGGUAUGCAUAAAUGUUCAUGUGGGCUCUGGAGUAUACCAGGAACUGAAGUAAGGUACAUGGACGUCUUGAAUAUUGUAACUGAGAUGGGCAAGCCUACACCUUUGCAAAUAAAGGAGGAUUGGGAAAGAUUAAGCCUCUCAAGCACUGUGAAAAAUCACUUUCUCUUGUUGUAUUCUUGGAGCCCCUGCUAAUUCAUUAUUGAAAAAUACCUGCUGCCUGCAUUUGGCCUUAUGUUGUCAUUUACUUGGUACUUCCUAAGCGUGGCUACUCCAAUGAAGCUUUAGUAUAUGUACUGAAAGAAGAUCCUCUCAUACUGCCACAGCCAAGAGAUAAGGUUGUAAAUCUUUAUUGGGAGAAGCCGUCAAGGACAGUUCUGUGAAAUGAAAGGAUCUCUGGAUCACCACAAAGUCUGGCUCAGUGACUAUGGCUUUGCAAACACUAAACAUUCCUGUCUCAAGUCCUGUAGAUGGCUUGAAAUAGUAUACAUAAGCAUGCCUUAUAAACAUCUUCAGUCUUUAUCAACUCUUUGGAGAUUCAGCCAUUCUUUUUUGUACUUUAGGGAAUUAAAUCAUUUUAUAAUGUAUAAAUCUGAGCAUGGCCGAUGGCAGAAGAAAUUUUGUCAUACGUUUUUAAAGAAAUAAAAAUGUAUUAUGUUUUAAAAUUCCUUUAACUGUUUUUCUUACAAAAU